UCAGGUGGUUAUAGCACGAGGGUUCCACCUCUUCCCAUUCCGAACAGAGAAGUUAAGCCUCGUCACACCGAUGGUACUGCGUAACAGUGGGAGAGUAGGUAGCCGCCGUUU
RNAcentral lists this ribosomal RNA (111 nucleotides) under Escherichia coli. The record is from RNAcentral. Lineage: Bacteria; Pseudomonadati; Pseudomonadota; Gammaproteobacteria; Enterobacterales; Enterobacteriaceae.